RNAcentral lists this ribosomal RNA (460 nucleotides) under uncultured bacterium. RNAcentral describes it as "partial 16S ribosomal RNA". It matches the Rfam family "Bacterial small subunit ribosomal RNA", at positions 338 to 795 of the family's 1533-position model. The record is from RNAcentral.
CCUACGGGAGGCAGCAGUGAGGAAUAUUGGUCAAUGGACGAGAGUCUGAACCAGCAAAGUAGCGUGAAGGAUGACUGCCCUCUGGGUUGUAAACUUCUUUUAUAUGGGAAUAAAAUGUUCCACGUGUGGGAUUUUGUAUGUACCCUAUGAAUAAGGAUCGGCUAACUCCGUGCCAGCAGCCGCGGUAAUACGGAGGAUCCGAGCGUUAUCCGGAUUUAUUGGGUUUAAAGGGAGCGUAGGUGGAUUGUUAAGUCAGUUGUGAAAGUUUGCGGCUCAACCGUGAAAUUGCAGUUGAAACUGGCAGUCUUGAGUACAGUAGAGGUGAGCGGAAUUCGUGGUGUAGCGGUGAAAUGCUUAGAUAUCACGAAGAACUCCGGUUGCGAAGGCGGCUCACUGGACUGCAACUGACACUGAGGCUCGAAAGUGUGGGUAUCAAACAGGAUUAGAUACCCGAGUAGUC